This 409-nucleotide small RNA is filed under the name Pongo abelii (Sumatran orangutan). RNAcentral's name for it is "retained intron". Lineage: Eukaryota; Metazoa; Chordata; Mammalia; Primates; Hominidae. The record is from RNAcentral.
UCAUCAACAUGUUUGCUGUCCUGGAUGAGCUAAAGAACAUGAAGUGCAGCGUCAAGAACGACCACUCUGCCUACAAGAGGGCAGCACAGUUCCUGCGGAAGAUGGCAGAUCCCCAGUCUAUCCAGGAGUCGCAGAACCUUUCCAUGUUCCUGGCCAACCACAACAGGAUCACCCAGGUGAGGGCAGACUCCUUGUUAGGCCUGGCCUGGUGUCUCGGGGUUAUAGGUAGGUGUGUAGAGGUUGGGUGGACCAUGAGCCCAAGCAGACAAGCUUAGUCUGCAGCUUCCAUCUCCACUGCCCUACAUGAGAGUGAAACGUAGCUGAGGACUUAAGUCUCUCCUCCCAACCCCAGGUGGCCGAUUCACCCUCUCCAGUUGUCAUGCUCAUGAAGCCCUCUCAGCCAGUGCUC